GUGCUCGCUUCGGCAGCACGUACUAAAAUUGGAACGAUACAGAGAAGGUUAGCAUGGCCCCUGGGCCAGGAUGACACGCAAAUUUAUGAAUCGGUCCAUGUUUUC
RNAcentral lists this small nuclear RNA (105 nucleotides) under Dasypus novemcinctus (nine-banded armadillo). The record is from RNAcentral. Lineage: Eukaryota; Metazoa; Chordata; Mammalia; Cingulata; Dasypodidae.